GUACGACCGCAAGGUUGAAACUCAAAGGAAUUGACGGGGGCCCGCACAAGCGGUGGAGCAUGUGGUUUAAUUCGAAGCAACGCGAAGAACCUUACCAGGUCUUGACAUCCUUUGACCACUCUAGAGAUAGAGCUUCCCCUUCGGGGGCAAAGUGACAGGUGGUGCAUGGUUGUCGUCAGCUCGUGUCGUGAGAUGUUGGGUUAAGUCCCGCAACGAGCGCAACCCUUAUUGUUAGUUGCCAUCAUUNAGUUGGGCACUCUAGCAAGACUGCCGGUGACAAACCGGAGGAAGGUGGGGAUGACGUCAAAUCAUCAUGCCCCUUAUGACCUGGGCUACACACGUGCUACAAUGGGAAGUACAACGAGUUGCGAAGUCGCGAGGCUAAGCUAAUCUCUUAAAGCUUCUCUCAGUUCGGAUUGCAGGCUGCAACU
This 431-nucleotide ribosomal RNA is filed under the name Enterococcus faecium. Its description in RNAcentral is "bacterial SSU rRNA". It matches the Rfam family "Bacterial small subunit ribosomal RNA", at positions 880 to 1312 of the family's 1533-position model. Lineage: Bacteria; Bacillati; Bacillota; Bacilli; Lactobacillales; Enterococcaceae. The record is from RNAcentral.